AGUGAACGCUGGCGGUAGGCCUAACACAUGCAAGUCGAACGGCAGCACAGUAAGUUCUUGCUCUUACGGGUGGCGAGUGGCGGACGGGAGAGGAAUACAUCGGAAUCUACUUUUUCGUGGGGGCUAAGGUAAGGCAGCUUAAGCUAAUACCGCAUACGACCUACGGGUGAAAGCAUGGGAUCUUCGGACCUUGCGCGAAUGAAUGCGCCGAUGUCGGAUUAGCUAGUUGGCGGGGUAAAGACCCACCAAGGCGACGAUCCGUAGCUGGUCUGAGAGGAUGAUCGGCCACACUGGAACUGAGACACGGUCCAGACUCCUACGGGAGGCAGCAGUGGGGAAUAUUGGACAAUGGGCGCAAGCCUGAUACAGCCAUACCGCGUGGGUGAAGAAGGCCUUCGGGUUGUAAAGCCCUUUUGUUGGGAAAGAAAAGCAGCAGGUUAAUACCCCGCUGUUCUGACGGUACCCAAAGAAUAAGCACCGGCUAACUACGUG
This 492-nucleotide ribosomal RNA is filed under the name uncultured bacterium. Its description in RNAcentral is "partial 16S ribosomal RNA". It matches the Rfam family "Bacterial small subunit ribosomal RNA", at positions 29 to 507 of the family's 1533-position model. The record is from RNAcentral.